UUUUAUUAAAAAUAAUUUUAAUUAAAUAUUAAAUGUGAAACAUUAAAAAUAAAAAAUUUGGCGGUAUUUAAUAUUUAGAGGAACUUGUUUAUUAAAUUGAUAAUCCACGAAUAGAAUAACUUAAUUUAAAAUAUAAAUUUUAUGUAUUGUUGUUGUAAAAUUAUAUUAUUAGAUAUUAAUUAAAAAAUUUAAUAAAAUUAUAAUUCAAAUCAAAAUGUAGGAUAAUUAAGAGUUUAAUGAGUUACAAUUAAUUAAAUAAUUGAAUUUUAAAAAUUAUAUAAUUUAAUUUAUAAAUGAAAAUGGAUUUAAAAGUAAAUUUAUAAAAAUUAUAAAUGAA
This 337-nucleotide ribosomal RNA is filed under the name Camponotus sp. MG005. Its description in RNAcentral is "partial 12S ribosomal RNA". The record is from RNAcentral. Lineage: Eukaryota; Metazoa; Arthropoda; Insecta; Hymenoptera; Formicidae.